GUGUACCGUAAGAAAACAAUAGUUUCAGGUCGCUAUGGUUAUGUGAAUUAUUAUUUUAUAAUACGUACACGCGAAAGGUCGCAAUUAGAAUCGCUCCGUAAAUUUACAAAAUUUCUAAAUUUUUUAAGUGUAUAAGUAACCGAUAAUCCUCGAACAACAUGUCUUGUUGCCCUCCACCUUGCUGCCCACCUAGCUGUGCACCUUGCUGUGCCCCAUGUGUCCCUUGCUGUGUACCAUGUUGUGCACCCUGCGUCUGCGUGCCAUGCUGUGUGCCAUGUUGUCCACCAUGUUGCCCUCCUCCCUGCCCCCCUAAAUGCUGAUAGUAGAAGGAGAAAAAUUAACAAUAAUUUUCCACAUUUGUUUCGACUGGAUCGGUUUUUAACUCGGAACAAGCAAAACAGUGCAGCUAAACAAUUAAUUUUUCUCUUGAAUAAAAUUUGACUGCUCCUGCUCGAUUUAAGUAAAUGGUAGUUAGGACGAUGGAUUUGUGGAUGAAUUUUCGAAAUAUAAAAAUAAAAAAAAAUGGCGACCCGUACUAAUGUUUGUAACGUAACUUCUUUGUAAUCUAGCGUGUACAAUAAACGUUAAAAUGUAA
Molecule: long non-coding RNA, 595 nt
Organism: Agrilus planipennis (emerald ash borer)
Lineage: Eukaryota; Metazoa; Arthropoda; Insecta; Coleoptera; Buprestidae
Exons: 2
Source: RefSeq, a predicted model, not a curated record